RNAcentral lists this ribosomal RNA (272 nucleotides) under uncultured Bacillus sp. RNAcentral describes it as "partial 16S ribosomal RNA". It matches the Rfam family "Bacterial small subunit ribosomal RNA", at positions 1110 to 1382 of the family's 1533-position model. Lineage: Bacteria; Bacillati; Bacillota; Bacilli; Caryophanales; Bacillaceae. The record is from RNAcentral.
GUUAGUUGCUAACGCGUGAAGGCGAGCACUCUAGACGAACUGCCGUUGACAAACGGAGGAAGGUGGGGAUGACGUCAAAUCAUCAUGCCCCUUAUGUUCUGGGCUACACACGUGCUACAAUGGCCGGUACAGACGGACGCAAAGCCGCGAGGUGGAGCAAAUCCUAAAAAGCCGGUCUCAGUUCGGAUUGCAGGCUGCAAUUCGCCUGCAUGAAGUCGGAAUCGCUAGUAAUCGCAGGUCAGCAUACUGCAGUGAAUACGUUCCCGGGCCUU